CGGACGGGUGAGUAAUGUCUGGGAAACUGCCUGAUGGAGGGGGAUAACUACUGGAAACGGAAGCUAAUACCGCAUAACGUCGCAAGACCAAAGAGGGGGACCUUCGGGCCUCUUGCCAUCGGAUGUGCCCAGAUGGGAUUAGCUAGUAGGUGGGGUAACGGCUCACCUAGGCGACGAUCCCUAGCUGGUCUGAGAGGAUGACCAGCCACACUGGAACUGAGACACGGUCCAG
RNAcentral lists this ribosomal RNA (232 nucleotides) under uncultured bacterium. RNAcentral describes it as "partial 16S ribosomal RNA". It matches the Rfam family "Bacterial small subunit ribosomal RNA", at positions 99 to 334 of the family's 1533-position model. The record is from RNAcentral.